GAGUUUGAUCCUGGCUCAGAUUGAACGCUGGCGGCAUGCCUUACACAUGCAAGUCGAACGGCAGCACGGGAGCAAUCCUGGUGGCGAGUGGCGAACGGGUGAGUAAUGUAUCGGAACGUACCUUUCAGUGGGGGAUAACGUAGCGAAAGUUACGCUAAUACCGCAUAUUCUGUGAGCAGGAAAGCAGGGGAUCGCAAGACCUUGCGCUGAUUGAGCGGCCGAUAUCAGAUUGGCUAGUUGGUGAGGUAAAGGCUCACCAAGGCGACGAUCUGUAGCGGGUCUGAGAGGAUGAUCCGCCACACUGGAACUGAGACACGGUCCAGACUCCUACGGGAGGCAGCAGUGGGGAAUUUUGGACAAUGGGGGCAACCCUGAUCCAGCCACGCCGCGUGAGUGAAGAAGGCCUUCGGGUUGUAAAGCUCUUUCGGCCGGGAAGAAAUCGCAUCAGCUAAUACCUGGUGUGGAUGACGGUACCGGAAUAAGAAGCACCGGCUAACUACGUGCCAGCAGCCGCGGUAAUAC
RNAcentral lists this ribosomal RNA (522 nucleotides) under uncultured beta proteobacterium. Its description in RNAcentral is "SSU rRNA". It matches the Rfam family "Bacterial small subunit ribosomal RNA", at positions 9 to 526 of the family's 1533-position model. The record is from RNAcentral. Lineage: Bacteria; Pseudomonadati; Pseudomonadota; Betaproteobacteria.